This is a long non-coding RNA of Suricata suricatta (meerkat), 244 nucleotides long. RefSeq lists it as uncharacterized. The record is from RefSeq and is a predicted model, not a curated record. The transcript has 2 exons. Lineage: Eukaryota; Metazoa; Chordata; Mammalia; Carnivora; Herpestidae.
CCCCAGCCCCAGGAGUCCCAGGAGUCCCCAUUCUGUGAUCAGGACAUUUCACAGACCUCUCACUAUGGAGUUUGUGCUUGGCUGGGUUUUCCUUGUUGCUGUUCUAAAAGGUGUCCAGUGUGAGGUGCAGCUGGUGGAGUCUGGGGGAGGCCUGGCGAAGCCUGGGGGCUCCCUGAGACUCUCCUGUGCAACCUCCGGAUUUGACUUCAGUAAAUAUACCAUGUACUGGGUCCGCCAGGCUCCA